This is a long non-coding RNA of Ictalurus punctatus (channel catfish), 1083 nucleotides long. Lineage: Eukaryota; Metazoa; Chordata; Actinopteri; Siluriformes; Ictaluridae. The record is from Ensembl.
CCCAAUCAAUCAAUCAGUCAGUCAGUCAGUCAGUCAGUCAGUCUUUGAUUACACUAUUUAAAUAGCCCCCAUUUGGGGUCAGCUUUCGCUUACGGCCAUACCACUCUGAAAAAGCCUGAUCUCAUCUGACCUCGGAAGCAAAGCAGAGUUGGGCCUGGUUAGUACUUGGUUGGGAGACUGAAUGGGAAUACUAGGUGCUGUAAGCUUUUUAUUUGGAUCAGUGUUUUCAUGGCCUCUGCACAACAUCCUGUUUUGGGAUAAAGGUUGGACACAGGUUUGAAGGGGACCCAAUCAAUCAAUCAUCAGUCAGUCAGUCAGUCAGUCUUUUGAUUACACUAUUUAAAUAGCCCCCAUUUGGGGUCAGCUUUCGCUUACGGCCAUACCACUCUGAAAAAGCCUGAUCUCAUCUGACCUCGGAAGCAAAGCAGAGUUGGGCCUGGUUAGUACUUGGUUGGGAGACUGAAUGGGAAUACUAGGUGCUGUAAGCUUUUUUAUUUGGAUCAGUGUUUUCAUGGCCUCUGCACAACAUCCUGUUUUGGGAUAAAGGUUGGACACAGGUUUGAAGGGGACCCAAUCAAUCAAUCAAUCAAUCAGUCAGUCAGUCAGUCAGUCUUUUGAUUACACUAUUUAAAUAGGCCCCAUUUGGGGUCAGCUUUCGGUUACGGCCAUACCACUCUGACAAAGCCUGAUCUCAUCUGACCUCGGAAGCAAAGCAGAGUUGGGCCUGGUUAGUACUCGGUUGGGAGACUGAAUGGGAAUACUAGGUGCUGUAAGCUUUUUAUUUGUAUCAGUGUUUUAAGCUCUUUACCUUCUCCUGACAUUGAAGAAUAUUCCGUACUACACCAAUGCAGCCUCCAAUUCUGACAGUUAUCUCCCAUUCAUGAGAGAUUAACUCUAGUGCUACCUCGAACAACCUCCUGGAACUGGUCAACUUCAUUAAAAUCCGGUGGAAUUGGGCCAUUUUCAUGUUUUUUCAAGACAAUUUUUAUAUCCAAAUGUUCAGCAUUUACCAUGAAACAGUCCAUUUCUGAGAGUCGCCAUAUAAACUGUAACAGGAGAUGGUGUGGAGUUCUUAUCAUUUUC